Molecule: ribosomal RNA, 2905 nt
Filed under: Yersinia pestis
Lineage: Bacteria; Pseudomonadati; Pseudomonadota; Gammaproteobacteria; Enterobacterales; Yersiniaceae
Description: bacterial LSU rRNA
Rfam family: Bacterial large subunit ribosomal RNA
Source: RNAcentral
UUAAGCGACUAAGCGUACACGGUGGAUGCCUAGGCAGUCAGAGGCGAUGAAGGGCGUGCUAAUCUGCGAAAAGCGUCGGUAAGCUGAUAUGAAGCGUUAUAACCGACGAUACCCGAAUGGGGAAACCCAGUGCAAUACGUUGCACUAUCGUUAGAUGAAUACAUAGUCUAACGAGGCGAACCGGGGGAACUGAAACAUCUAAGUACCCCGAGGAAAAGAAAUCAACCGAGAUUCCCCCAGUAGCGGCGAGCGAACGGGGAGGAGCCCAGAGUCUGAAUCAGUUUGUGUGUUAGUGGAAGCGUCUGGAAAGUCGCACGGUACAGGGUGAUAGUCCCGUACACCAAAAUGCACAGGCUGUGAACUCGAUGAGUAGGGCGGGACACGUGACAUCCUGUCUGAAUAUGGGGGGACCAUCCUCCAAGGCUAAAUACUCCUGACUGACCGAUAGUGAACCAGUACCGUGAGGGAAAGGCGAAAAGAACCCCGGCGAGGGGAGUGAAAUAGAACCUGAAACCGUGUACGUACAAGCAGUGGGAGCACCUUCGUGGUGUGACUGCGUACCUUUUGUAUAAUGGGUCAGCGACUUAUAUUUUGUAGCAAGGUUAACCGAAUAGGGGAGCCGUAGGGAAACCGAGUCUUAACUGGGCGUCUAGUUGCAAGGUAUAGACCCGAAACCCGGUGAUCUAGCCAUGGGCAGGUUGAAGGUUGGGUAACACUAACUGGAGGACCGAACCGACUAAUGUUGAAAAAUUAGCGGAUGACUUGUGGCUGGGGGUGAAAGGCCAAUCAAACCGGGAGAUAGCUGGUUCUCCCCGAAAGCUAUUUAGGUAGCGCCUCGUGAACUCAUCUUCGGGGGUAGAGCACUGUUUCGGCUAGGGGGCCAUCCCGGCUUACCAAACCGAUGCAAACUCCGAAUACCGAAGAAUGUUAUCACGGGAGACACACGGCGGGUGCUAACGUCCGUCGUGAAGAGGGAAACAACCCAGACCGCCAGCUAAGGUCCCAAAGUCAUGGUUAAGUGGGAAACGAUGUGGGAAGGCACAGACAGCCAGGAUGUUGGCUUAGAAGCAGCCAUCAUUUAAAGAAAGCGUAAUAGCUCACUGGUCGAGUCGGCCUGCGCGGAAGAUGUAACGGGGCUAAACCAUGCACCGAAGCUGCGGCAGCGACGUUUAGGCGUUGUUGGGUAGGGGAGCGUUCUGUAAGCCGUUGAAGGUGACCUGUGAGGGUUGCUGGAGGUAUCAGAAGUGCGAAUGCUGACAUAAGUAACGAUAAUGCGGGUGAAAAACCCGCACGCCGGAAGACCAAGGGUUCCUGUCCAACGUUAAUCGGGGCAGGGUGAGUCGACCCCUAAGGCGAGGCUGAAAAGCGUAGUCGAUGGGAAACAGGUUAAUAUUCCUGUACUUGGUGUUACUGCGAAGGGGGGACGGAGAAGGCUAGGCUGGCCGGGCGACGGUUGUCCCGGUUUAAGCGUGUAGGGGGAGUGACCAGGUAAAUCCGGUUGCUUAUCAACCCUGAGGCGUGAUGACGAUGCACCACGGUGCAGAAGCAGUUGAUGCCAUGCUUCCAGGAAAAGCCUCUAAGCAUCAGGUAACAUUAAAUCGUACCCCAAACCGACACAGGUGGUCAGGUAGAGAAUACUCAGGCGCUUGAGAGAACUCGGGUGAAGGAACUAGGCAAAAUGGUGCCGUAACUUCGGGAGAAGGCACGCUGGCGUUAGGUGAAAGGACUAGCUCCUGGAGCUGAAGCCAGUCGCAGAUACCAGCUGGCUGCAACUGUUUAAUAAAAACACAGCACUGUGCAAACACGAAAGUGGACGUAUACGGUGUGACGCCUGCCCGGUGCUGGAAGGUUAAUUGAUGGGGUCAGCCGCAAGGGGAAGCUCUUGAUCGAAGCCCCAGUAAACGGCGGCCGUAACUAUAACGGUCCUAAGGUAGCGAAAUUCCUUGUCGGGUAAGUUCCGACCUGCACGAAUGGCGUAAUGAUGGCCAGGCUGUCUCCACCCGAGACUCAGUGAAAUUGAACUCGCUGUGAAGAUGCAGUGUACCCGCGGCAAGACGGAAAGACCCCGUGAACCUUUACUAUAGCUUGACACUGAACAUUGAGCCUUGAUGUGUAGGAUAGGUGGGAGGCCUUGAAGUGUGGACGCCAGUCUGCAUGGAGCCAACCUUGAAAUACCACCCUUUAAUGUUUGAUGUUCUAACUCGGCCCCAUGAUCUGGGGUGAGGACAGUGUCUGGUGGGUAGUUUGACUGGGGCGGUCUCCUCCCAAAGAGUAACGGAGGAGCACGAAGGUUAGCUAAUCACGGUCGGACAUCGUGAGGUUAGUGCAAAGGCAUAAGCUAGCUUGACUGCGAGAGUGACGGCUCGAGCAGGUACGAAAGUAGGUCUUAGUGAUCCGGUGGUUCUGAAUGGAAGGGCCAUCGCUCAACGGAUAAAAGGUACUCCGGGGAUAACAGGCUGAUACCGCCCAAGAGUUCAUAUCGACGGCGGUGUUUGGCACCUCGAUGUCGGCUCAUCACAUCCUGGGGCUGAAGUAGGUCCCAAGGGUAUGGCUGUUCGCCAUUUAAAGUGGUACGCGAGCUGGGUUUAGAACGUCGUGAGACAGUUCGGUCCCUAUCUGCCGUGGGCGUUGGAAGAUUGAGAGGGGCUGCUCCUAGUACGAGAGGACCGGAGUGGACGAAUCACUGGUGUUCGGGUUGUCAUGCCAAUGGCAUUGCCCGGUAGCUAAAUUCGGAAGAGAUAACCGCUGAAAGCAUCUAAGCGGGAAACUUGCCUCGAGAUGAGUCUUCCCUGGGGCUUAAAGCCCCCUGAAGGAACGUUAAAGACUAUGACGUUGAUAGGCUGGGUGUGUAAGUGCAGCGAUGUAUUGAGCUAACCAGUACUAAUGAUCCGUGAGGCUUAACCUU